GGGUUGUGAGGUUAAGCGACUAAGCGUACACGGUGGAUGCCCUGGCAGUCAGAGGCGAUGAAGGGCGUGCUAAUCUGCGAUAAGCGCCGGUAAGGUGAUAUGAACCGUUAUAACCGGCGAUACCCGAAUGGGGAAACCCAGUGUGACUCGUCACACUAUCAUUAACUGAAUCCAUAGGUUAAUGAGGCGAACCGGGGGAACUGAAACAUCUAAGUACCCCGAGGAAAAGAAAUCAACCGAGAUUCCCCCAGUAGCGGCGAGCGAACGGGGAGGAGCCCAGAGCCUGAAUCAGCAUGUGUGUUAGUGGAAGCGUCUGGAAAGGCGCGCGAUACAGGGUGACAGCCCCGUACACAAAAGCGCAUGUGCUGUGAGCUCGAUGAGUAGGGCGGGACACGUGGUAUCCUGUCUGAAUAUGGGGGGACCAUCCUCCAAGGCUAAAUACUCCUGACUGACCGAUAGUGAACCAGUACCGUGAGGGAAAGGCGAAAAGAACCCCGGCGAGGGGAGUGAAAAAGAACCUGAAACCGUGUACGUACAAGCAGUGGGAGCACAGGUUUACCUGUGUGACUGCGUACCUUUUGUAUAAUGGGUCAGCGACUUAUAUUCUGUAGCAAGGUUAACCGUAUAGGGGAGCCGUAGGGAAACCGAGUCUUAACCGGGCGUUAAGUUGCAGGGUAUAGACCCGAAACCCGGUGAUCUAGCCAUGGGCAGGUUGAAGGUUGGGUAACACUAACUGGAGGACCGAACCGACUAAUGUUGAAAAAUUAGCGGAUGACCUGUGGCUGGGGGUGAAAGGCCAAUCAAACCGGGAGAUAGCUGGUUCUCCCCGAAAGCUAUUUAGGUAGCGCCUCGUGAAUUCAUCUCCGGGGGUAGAGCACUGUUUCGGCUAGGGGGCCAUCCCGGCUUACCAACCCGAUGCAAACUGCGAAUACCGGAGAAUGUUAUCACGGGAGACACACGGCGGGUGCUAACGUCCGUCGUGAAGAGGGAAACAACCCAGACCGCCAGCUAAGGUCCCAAAGUCAUGGUUAAGUGGGAAACGAUGUGGGAAGGCCCAGACAGCCAGGAUGUUGGCUUAGAAGCAGCCAUCAUUUAAAGAAAGCGUAAUAGCUCACUGGUCGAGUCGGCCUGCGCGGAAGAUGUAACGGGGCUAAACCAUGCACCGAAGCUGCGGCAGCGACACUGAGGUGUUGUUGGGUAGGGGAGCGUUCUGUAAGCCUGUGAAGGUGGCCUGUGAGGGUUGCUGGAGGUAUCAGAAGUGCGAAUGCUGACAUAAGUAACGAUAAAGCGGGUGAAAAGCCCGCUCGCCGGAAGACCAAGGGUUCCUGUCCAACGUUAAUCGGGGCAGGGUGAGUCGACCCCUAAGGCGAGGCCGAAAGGCGUAGUCGAUGGGAAACGGGUUAAUAUUCCCGUACUUGGUGUUACUGCGAAGGGGGGACGGAGAAGGCUAUGUUGGCCGGGCGACGGUUGUCCCGGUUUAAGCGUGUAGGUGUGUGUUCCAGGUAAAUCCGGUUCACUUUAACACUGAGGCGUGAUGACGAGGCACUACGGUGCUGAAGCAACAAAUGCCCUGCUUCCAGGAAAAGCCUCUAAGCAUCAGGUAACAUCAAAUCGUACCCCAAACCGACACAGGUGGUCAGGUAGAGAAUACCAAGGCGCUUGAGAGAACUCGGGUGAAGGAACUAGGCAAAAUGGUGCCGUAACUUCGGGAGAAGGCACGCUGACACGUAGGUGAAGUGAUUUACUCACGGAGCUGAAGUCAGUCGAAGAUACCAGCUGGCUGCAACUGUUUAUUAAAAACACAGCACUGUGCAAACACGAAAGUGGACGUAUACGGUGUGACGCCUGCCCGGUGCCGGAAGGUUAAUUGAUGGGGUCAGCGCAAGCGAAGCUCCUGAUCGAAGCCCCGGUAAACGGCGGCCGUAACUAUAACGGUCCUAAGGUAGCGAAAUUCCUUGUCGGGUAAGUUCCGACCUGCACGAAUGGCGUAAUGAUGGCCAGGCUGUCUCCACCCGAGACUCAGUGAAAUUGAACUCGCUGUGAAGAUGCAGUGUACCCGCGGCAAGACGGAAAGACCCCGUGAACCUUUACUAUAGCUUGACACUGAACAUUGAGCCUUGAUGUGUAGGAUAGGUGGGAGGCUUUGAAGUGUGGACGCCAGUCUGCAUGGAGCCGACCUUGAAAUACCACCCUUUAAUGUUUGAUGUUCUAACGUGGACCCGUAAUCCGGGUUGCGGACAGUGUCUGGUGGGUAGUUUGACUGGGGCGGUCUCCUCCUAAAGAGUAACGGAGGAGCACGAAGGUUGGCUAAUCCUGGUCGGACAUCAGGAGGUUAGUGCAAUGGCAUAAGCCAGCUUGACUGCGAGCGUGACGGCGCGAGCAGGUGCGAAAGCAGGUCAUAGUGAUCCGGUGGUUCUGAAUGGAAGGGCCAUCGCUCAACGGAUAAAAGGUACUCCGGGGAUAACAGGCUGAUACCGCCCAAGAGUUCAUAUCGACGGCGGUGUUUGGCACCUCGAUGUCGGCUCAUCACAUCCUGGGGCUGAAGUAGGUCCCAAGGGUAUGGCUGUUCGCCAUUUAAAGUGGUACGCGAGCUGGGUUUAGAACGUCGUGAGACAGUUCGGUCCCUAUCUGCCGUGGGCGCUGGAGAACUGAGGGGGGCUGCUCCUAGUACGAGAGGACCGGAGUGGACGCAUCACUGGUGUUCGGGUUGUCAUGCCAAUGGCACUGCCCGGUAGCUAAAUGCGGAAGAGAUAAGUGCUGAAAGCAUCUAAGCACGAAACUUGCCCCGAGAUGAGUUCUCCCUGAGACUUAAAGUCUCCUGAAGGAACGUUGAAGACGACGACGUUGAUAGGCCGGGUGUGUAAGCGCAGCGAUGCGUUGAGCUAACCGGUACUAAUGAACCGUGAGGCUUAACCUUACAACGCCGAAG
RNAcentral lists this ribosomal RNA (2929 nucleotides) under Salmonella enterica subsp. enterica serovar Goldcoast. RNAcentral describes it as "23S ribosomal RNA". It matches the Rfam family "Bacterial large subunit ribosomal RNA". The record is from RNAcentral. Lineage: Bacteria; Pseudomonadati; Pseudomonadota; Gammaproteobacteria; Enterobacterales; Enterobacteriaceae.